This 425-nucleotide ribosomal RNA is filed under the name uncultured bacterium. RNAcentral describes it as "bacterial SSU rRNA". It matches the Rfam family "Bacterial small subunit ribosomal RNA", at positions 355 to 772 of the family's 1533-position model. The record is from RNAcentral.
UGGGGAAUCUUGGACAAUGGGGGCAACCCUGAUCCAGCGAUGCCGCGUGGGUGAAGAAGGCCUUCGGGUUGUAAAGCCCUUUAGGCUGGGAAGAAGGGUUUGGGAUGAAUAAUCCUGAACUUUGACGGUACCAGCAGAAUAAGCACCGGCAAACUCUGUGCCAGCAGCCGCGGUAAUACAGAGGGUGCAAGCGUUAAUCGGAUUCACUGGGCGUAAAGGUUGCGCAGGCGGUUGGGUGUGUCAGAUGUGAAAUCCCGAGGCUCAACCUCGGAACCGCGUCUGAAACUACUCGACUAGAGUACUGGAGAGGGUAACGGAAUUCACGGUGUAGCAGUGAAAUGCGUAGAUAUCGUGAGGAACACCAGAGGCGAAGGCGGUUACCUGGACAGUUACUGACGCUCAGGCACGAAAGCAUGGGGAGCAAA